Schistocerca gregaria is the source of this 1472-nucleotide long non-coding RNA. RefSeq lists it as uncharacterized. The record is from RefSeq and is a predicted model, not a curated record. The transcript has 3 exons. Lineage: Eukaryota; Metazoa; Arthropoda; Insecta; Orthoptera; Acrididae.
UUUGUGGCGUAAUACGCCAAUUGUUGAGGCCGUGGUGUAGUUUUCGUGAGUGGAGACAUGUAUAAAUGAAUAUGCACAUUACAGCAGUGUGAAUUGCAGAAAGAUAGUGAUUACUGUUGUGUAAUUUGUGAACUGUGCGCCGCCCUUUUAUUGGUGGAUGAACUAUUAACAGUUUUUGCGUUUGCAAUGGACGUAAAUACGUGGGUCAGUGGUGAAACAAUGCCUGUGCACGAUAGUUGGAUUUGAAUAUUUUAAGCACCAUGAUUUGAUGGGAAUAAGCCUUGAACUGUGUCUAUCACUUAUUGGACAGAAACUGUUUCUCGGAUGUCACGGAGUAGGACAUUGUGUAUACAAAUAUGGGUCAACUACGUAAAUAUGGCUGUGUGGCGGAUUUCAAACUGUGCCCACUGGAACUGCGAUCCAACGACAUCAAGUUCAAUACGACUGCUGCCGCAGUACAACAUUAUUAUUACCUGUACCAACAACAGGUACAACAUAAUGCAUCUGGACAUUGCGGGUGUUUUCAACGCAAAAUCGUCAAAUACCACCAUCGAGCGCCAUCGUCACCAUGCUAUCCUGUAAUCCUGCAACGAAAUGAGAGGAGUACUACAGCUACUGCUGAGUCGUCAUGUCACAGGUAUUGUGGCCACCUGUCAAAAGUCUGAAUAACCACUUUUUGCAGCAUUAGACAGGAAGAGAGUUAGUGAGGUUCUGUAAGGUACUGACAGAGUGGUGGAGCCAAGCUGACUCCAGUGCUGUGGCCAGUUGCACUAGGUUCCUUGGUGGAGGAUCCAACAGGAGCUUUAUAUGAAUAUGAGGGAUACUGCACUAUUCAUUGGCAGUGCUUGUAGGAGAGACGAAGGAGAAGUCAGAGGUGAGGAAGAAGAGUGUGGACAAGUUCAAGGAAUCCAAGAGGAGAAGUCAUUCCAAAGAUUGAAGAAGAUGAAAAAUAUCAAGCUGUUUGGAGUAGCUUUAUAUGCUGCUUUCCCCAGUUUUCCAUCAACAAAGCAUCCUGGUUAGCUUGUAACAGCCGAGAGUGGCAGAUGAAAAGCUUAGCAGAGCUUUGCAGCAAUACCUCUGAAUGGUACUGUCUUAUCAUAGCCCUUACAUUCUAUGUGGCAUUGUUCAGAGAUGACAUAUCAGUUAGCACAGUUACAUUUUAAUAUAGUUUCACUGACAUAAAUUUAAAAAACAGUUCCUCCAUAUUGAAACAUCGUUCAGUGAAAAUUCUCCUUUAAUAACUACCAAAUUACUAGAACUCUAAAUUGUGUUAUUUUAUAAUUGUUGGUCCAAAGACACAGUAAACAAUCCAUUCAAGUUGAUAAUAGUGAGUUGCAAAUGACCGAAAGAAGACAAUGGCAUGCUAAUGAACCAGUCUGUUUGGUUAAUGAUGGUUUAACAUCACAGCAAAUCAACAAAGUAUAUCUUAUGAAUAUAAAUGCAAAGAAAAAAAUUGAUAUUAAAACAAAGAU